UUUAUUGAGAGUUUGAUCCUGGCUCAGGAUGAACGCUGGCGGUGUGCCUUAGGCAUGCAAGUCGAACGGUAAUCUCGCCUUCGGGCGAGAACGAGUGGCGAACGGGUGAGUAACACGUAGGAAUCUACCCAGUAGUGGGGAAUAGCUCGCCGAAAGGCGGGAUAAUACCGCAUACGUCCCGCAGCAAUGCGGGAGAAAGCAUUUAUGCGCUAUUGGAAGAGCCUGCGCGCUAUCAGCUAGUUGGUGAGGUAAAGGCUCACCAAGGCUACGACGGCUAGCCGAUGUGAGAGCAUGAUCGGCCACAAGGCUACUGAGACACGGAGCCUACACCUACGGGUGGCAGCAACCGGGAAUUUUGCGCAAUGGACGAAAGUCUGACGCAGCGACACCGCGUGUGGGAUGACACUUUUCGGAGCGUAAACCACUGUGGCGAGGGAGGAAUUUUGACAGUACCUCGCUAGAAAGCACCAGCUAACCACGUGCCAGAAGCUUCGGUAAUACGUGGGGUGCAAGCGUUAUCCGGAUUUA
RNAcentral lists this ribosomal RNA (528 nucleotides) under Candidatus Pacebacteria bacterium CG_4_10_14_0_8_um_filter_42_14. Its description in RNAcentral is "bacterial SSU rRNA". It matches the Rfam family "Bacterial small subunit ribosomal RNA", at positions 1 to 553 of the family's 1533-position model. Lineage: Bacteria; Bacillati; Minisyncoccota. The record is from RNAcentral.